This 5379-nucleotide ribosomal RNA is filed under the name Streptococcus pneumoniae. RNAcentral describes it as "23S ribosomal RNA". The stretch from base 2910 to 5379 matches the Rfam family "Bacterial large subunit ribosomal RNA". The record is from RNAcentral. Lineage: Bacteria; Bacillati; Bacillota; Bacilli; Lactobacillales; Streptococcaceae.
UAUACCGCAACGUGUACUAUUUUUGGUUCAUUUUACUAUAGAAACUAUUGAAGCACCUGUACGAAAAUAUAGUAGAUUGAAACUAGAAUAGUACACCUCUACUUCUAAAACAUUGUUAGAAAUCGAUUUGACUGUCCCGAUCGAUUCGUCCUGUUAUUAUUUCAUUUUACUAUACAUUAUGAAAAAGGGGAGAUAGAAAGCAAACAGCCUUGAAAUCAAUGUUGACUGCGAUUAUGAACCUGAAUCAGCCCCUCAAAAGGGACUGUAUAUGAAUGAACGUUACCAGUGUUUAAAAACUAAAGAAUAUCAGGCACUUUUAUCUUCCAAGGGUAGACAAAUUUUCGCUAAACGUAAGAUUGAUAUGAAAUCUGUCUUUGGGCAGAUAAAGGUUUGUUUGGGUUAUAAGAGAUGUCAUCUGAGAGGUAAGCGUCAAGUGAGAAUUGACAUGGGAUUCAUACUCAUGGCCAACAACCUGCUGAAAUAUAAUAAGAGAAAGAGGCAAAAUUAAAAAGCUAGAGUUCCGCAAUUGGGAAUCUCUAGCUUUUUGUUUUCUGAGAAUCAUCUUGACUCAGACUCUUUUGACUAAUGUUACCAAAAAAGAUAAAGUAACUUUUAACCUUAUUUAUCGUCGCCACUCAACAUGUUUUUAACACCUUCUACAGCACCUUCUACAGCGUCUUUAGCGUCUUCGGCAACUUCUUUUACUUUAGAAACAACUUUUUCAGCUGCUCCUUCUUUUUCCAUUUUUUCAUCACCGAUGGCUUUCCCAACACCUUCUUUAAUAGAACCUUUAGCUUGAUUUAAUUUUUCUUCUACUGACAUGAUAAUUUCUCCUGUUAUAUUUAUUUUAUCUUAGUUUACACGAGUGUUUUCGUGAGAUACUACACCAUUUGCUGCACCUUUAACAGCUUCUACACCUUCGCUAACUUUUUCUUGAACAGUUGAGAAACCAGAUCCAAGACCAGAUUUAGCUUUUUCGAAUUGUUCUGAAGUGAAUUCUCCUGUUGAUUCAGCAACGUCAGAUACGCGAUCUUGAAGGCUUACUGAGUCUGCUUCAUGCUGUUCUUUAGUUUUGAUGUCGACAACGUUUACGUUGAUUUCAACAAUUUCCAAGUCAGUCAUUUUAGCAACUUCUGAAGAUACGAUUUCUCUGAUUUCUGAAUAUAAAGCUGGAACAUUUUUUUGGUACUCAACAAUAACGUUUAAGUCAACUGCAACUUGUGUUUUACCAACUUCUACGUUAACACCACUUGUUACGUCAUCGCUGUUAACGAUUUUUUCUUUAAGAUUUGAGAAGAAACCACCAUCGAUUCCCAAAAGACCUGAAACGUUUUCUAGUGAAAGACCAAUGAUUUUUUGGAUAACUUUAUCUUCGUAAGUAAGUUCCCCUUUGAUUUCGUGAGCUACAACAGUAGCAUCUUUCUUUUCUACGUUAGUGUUUGUGUUUUUUUCGUUUGACAUAUGAAACUCCUUUAAUUAAAUUAGUAAUUUUUAUUUUUUUAUUUAUCUAUAUAGUUUUUUUCGAUAUAUAAUCCAGCUGCAACUCCCAGUGCUCCUAAAAUCAAUACAAAUAUUGUUUUGAAGAAGCCAAAGGAGACAAUCAAACAAGCCAGAAAUACGCCUAUGAGACCAGCGAUAAUUGGAUAUCGAUAUUGUUUAAGCCAUUCCAUUUUUUACUUCCUUACUUCACACGACUAACAGUCUUUUUGUUUUGAGGUUUUGGUUGGUAAUUUUUUACUGCAACUUCAAGUUUUACUUGACGCUCAAUACCAAAAAACUGCUUCAAUCCAUUAGUUAUUUCAUUUUGAAUUAUUUGGCAUCUGUCAGCGAUGUUGUCUGAAGGAAGAAUUUUACCUUCUACAUGAACGAAACAUUUAUUUUUUCGUAAAUUUACAUGAACAGUUGGGUUCUUGAUCAAUCUAUGAUCACUCACCAAACUUCUAACAAAACCUUCGAUUGCCGAAUUCUUUAAUUUUAAUGUAUCGUUUUUAGUUUCAAGUUGGAUUUCCAAGUAACGUUUAGGAUAAAACAUCACAACUAAAAUGGAUAAUAAAACUAAAGUUGAUAGAACCACUGUCCCCCAAAAGACAUAUCUAGCAAGAUAGAAUUCAACUACGGAGUUCUGUCUCCAGCUAAGUAGAUGAAUACCUAGAUCACUAACUUGAUGAUAAUCUAUCAAAACAGGAAGGAAAAUUGUCAAGAUUAAAAUACAGAAAAUAAUGAAACAUAUUUUCUUUGCUUUUGACAUAUACAAUCCUUUCGAUUUAACAUUUAAACUAUUUUUCCCGUCAUUGAUUUAAAAAUAGUUUGCUAACUUUACUGGCGAAAAGUUUACUUUCUACCUGUAAAGAAUGACACUACAGUAAUCACAAUCGCUGCACCUACAAUAGAUGGGAGCAAAGCCAUUCCAGCGAUUGAUGGACCCCAACUACCUAAAAGAGAUUGUCCUGCAUAUGCCCCGACUAAACCAGCGAAUACAUUUGCGAUGAUUCCCAUAGAACUACUUUUUUAGUGAUUUUACCUGCCAAGAGACCAAUAAGACCUCCAGCAAUAAUUGAUCACAACACUGCCUACCCUCCUUUUUUAUUUUAAUAUCAAAAAAUCAAUUUCUUUGAUUAAUACUAUUAUAUAACUUUAAUAUAGAAAAGUCAAUUAUUUCGAUUGUUAUUAUUAUAUAAUUUUAAAAAAUCAAAUUCUUUAAUUGUUGCUAUUAUAUAAUUUUUAAAAUUAAAAAUAUAAUCUUUAGACUUGAAUUUGAUUCUGUAUUCACGCCCUCAAUAGACGGUAAAAUAAGAAAAUUGUUUAUAUAUUGUCUCCGUAGUGUUAUUAUACGAAAUAAAAGAUUUUAGGAAAAGUCGUUAUAUCAUGCUAUACCUAUUCUUUGUGGUAUAAUUGCAAGAGGUUUAAUCCGAUAAUUUAUAAAGAGAGAAAGAUAUUCAUGAGAGAUUUAUUAUCUAAAAAAAGUCAUAGGCAAUUAGAAUUAUUANAAGCACCCCGGGAGGGGAGUGAAAUAGAACCUGAAACCGUGUGCCUACAACAAGUUCGAGCCCGUUAAUGGGUGAGAGCGUGCCUUUUGUAGAAUGAACCGGCGAGUUACGUUAUGAUGCGAGGUUAAGUUGAAGAGACGGAGCCGUAGGGAAACCGAGUCUGAAUAGGGCGCCUUAGUAUCAUGACGUAGACCCGAAACCAUGUGACCUACCCAUGAGCAGGUUGAAGGUGCGGUAAGACGCACUGGAGGACCGAACCAGGGCACGUUGAAAAGUGCUUGGAUGACUUGUGGGUAGCGGAGAAAUUCCAAACGAACUUGGAGAUAGCUGGUUCUCUCCGAAAUAGCUUUAGGGCUAGCGUCGACAUUAGAGAUUCUUGGAGGUAGAGCACUGUUUGGGUGAGGGGUUCAUCCCGGAUUACCAAUCUCAGAUAAACUCCGAAUGCCAAUGAAUUAUGGUCGGCAGUCAGACUGCGAGUGCUAAGAUCCGUAGUCGAAAGGGAAACAGCCCAGACCACCAGCUAAGGUCCCAAAAUAAUUGUUAAGUGGAAAAGGAUGUGGGGUUGCACAGACAACUAGGAUGUUAGCUUAGAAGCAGCUAUUCAUUCAAAGAGUGCGUAAUAGCUCACUAGUCGAGUGACCCUGCGCCGAAAAUGUACCGGGGCUAAAACAAUUUACCGAAGCUGUGGAUACCUUUAUAGGUAUGGUAGGAGAGCGUUCUAUGUGUGAUGAAGGUAUACCGUGAGGAGUGCUGGAACGCAUAGAAGUGAGAAUGCCGGUAUGAGUAGCGAAAGACAGGUGAGAAUCCUGUCCACCGUAAGACUAAGGUUUCCAGGGGAAGGCUCGUCCGCCCUGGGUUAGUCGGGACCUAAGGAGAGACCGAAAGGUGUAUCCGAUGGACAACAGGUUGAUAUUCCUGUACUAGAGUAUGUAGUGAUGGAGGGACGCAGUAGGCUAACUAAAGCAGACGAUUGGAAGAGUCUGUCUAAGCAGUGAGGUGUGAAUUGAGUCAAAUGCUUAAUUCUAUAACAUUGAGCUGUGAUGGGGAGCGAAGUUUAGUAGCGAAGUUAGUGACGUCACACUGCCAAGAAAAGCUUCUAGCGUUUAAACAUACUCUACCCGUACCGCAAACCGACACAGGUAGUCGAGGCGAGUAGCCUCAGGUGAGCGAGAGAACUCUCGUUAAGGAACUCGGCAAAAUGACCCCGUAACUUCGGGAGAAGGGGUGCUGACUUAAAGUCAGCCGCAGUGAAUAGGCCCAAGCAACUGUUUAUCAAAAACACAGCUCUCUGCUAAAUCGUAAGAUGAUGUAUAGGGGGUGACGCCUGCCCGGUGCUGGAAGGUUAAGAGGAGUGCUUAGCGUAAGCGAAGGUAUGAAUUGAAGCCCCAGUAAACGGCGGCCGUAACUAUAACGGUCCUAAGGUAGCGAAAUUCCUUGUCGGGUAAGUUCCGACCCGCACGAAAGGCGUAAUGAUUUGGGCACUGUCUCAACGAGAGACUCGGUGAAAUUUUAGUACCUGUGAAGAUGCAGGUUACCCGCGACAGGACGGAAAGACCCCAUGGAGCUUUACUGCAGUUUGAUAUUGAGUGUCUGUACCACAUGUACAGGAUAGGUAGGAGUCUACGAGAUCGGGACGCCAGUUUCGAAGGAGACGCUGUUGGGAUACUACCCUUGUGUUAUGGCCACUCUAACCCAGAUAGGUGAUCCCUAUCGGAGACAGUGUCUGACGGGCAGUUUGACUGGGGCGGUCGCCUCCUAAAAGGUAACGGAGGCGCCCAAAGGUUCCCUCAGAAUGGUUGGAAAUCAUUCGCAGAGUGUAAAGGUAUAAGGGAGCUUGACUGCGAGAGCUACAACUCGAGCAGGGACGAAAGUCGGGCUUAGUGAUCCGGUGGUUCCGUAUGGAAGGGCCAUCGCUCAACGGAUAAAAGCUACCCUGGGGAUAACAGGCUUAUCUCCCCCAAGAGUUCACAUCGACGGGGAGGUUUGGCACCUCGAUGUCGGCUCGUCGCAUCCUGGGGCUGUAGUCGGUCCCAAGGGUUGGGCUGUUCGCCCAUUAAAGCGGCACGCGAGCUGGGUUCAGAACGUCGUGAGACAGUUCGGUCCCUAUCCGUCGCGGGCGUAGGAAAUUUGAGAGGAUCUGCUCCUAGUACGAGAGGACCAGAGUGGACUUACCGCUGGUGUACCAGUUGUCUUGCCAAAGGCAUCGCUGGGUAGCUAUGUAGGGAAGGGAUAAACGCUGAAAGCAUCUAAGUGUGAAACCCACCUCAAGAUGAGAUUUCCCAUGAUUAUAUAUCAGUAAGAGCCCUGAGAGAUGAUCAGGUAGAUAGGUUAGAAGUGGAAGUGUGGCGACACAUGUAGCGGACUAAUACUAAUAGCUCGAGGACUUAUCCAA